RNAcentral lists this long non-coding RNA (976 nucleotides) under Homo sapiens (human). Its description in RNAcentral is "HSALNT0401907". Lineage: Eukaryota; Metazoa; Chordata; Mammalia; Primates; Hominidae. The record is from RNAcentral.
ACCGGGCUUGACACAAGUGCCAAUAAUGCCACAGUAACAUCUGCCUGGGUUCUGGCAUCUGGCGAGAGUGGGAUUGAAUCCCAGCUCUGCCACUUUAGCCAUGUGACCUUGAACCAAUGACUUAGCAAUAUAAGCCUUAUUUUCCAUGUCUGUAAAAUGGGAAUAGCAAUACUUCCCAAUUCUUAGGGCUUUUGUGAGGCUUAGAGUUAAUGCUUAUAAAAUGGCUGGCACUUAAUUAAACUCCAAUUUCAAUACACGAAUCAAGUUGCUUGCAUUCUCUCCAUUGGAUGAGGUCACGUCUUUACUCCUGCCUGAGCUAAUUGAUGUAUUCUUAAAGUGGCUUGCUUGGCUAAGAAUUUCAUGCAUAGUAUCAGGGGAUUUUUUCUUUCCUCUGUUAAAUAACUUGGGCUCUGACAGAUUACAAGGAAGUUAUUACUCAGAGCUAAGUGCUCAAAACUGAUUGUAGGGAGCAGUGGAAAUUCCCCUUCCUUGCCUAAAAUAACUGGAACUGGAACAUGACAAUAUGAGCUUUGUCCAGGCUUGAAACAAUAUCCUUUCCAAGUGAAUUUUGUACGGAAAUACUUACCAAUAUAUAGUGGUAGUUCUCACUGACAGGCUAGAAAAAGGUUAGUCAUUCCCCGUAUUCCAUAGCUAAAAGGGCCAUUGUUAGGGACAAUAAGCCCCCGAGGAGUGAAAUUUAAGCAUGUGGACAUAGUAAUAUUGGACUUACCUGACUUCUCCCUGCCCCUUAUCCCAUUUGAUUCCUUCACUAUCAAAAGAAUCUAAUUCCGGAAAUAGACAUGCUCUCCAUUUGUUUGAUUAUUUUUAUUGCAAGUAUGUUUGUGACAACCUUCCCCUGAACACCCCCGAGCAGGUCCUGAGGAAACGGGAGAAGGAAAUGCUCAGGUCCUUAUAGUAGAUGCGAGUUCAGAGUAGCUGACUCAGAUGAAUGUCCGUGAGUUCAAAUUCCACAGCA